AUUGAACGCUGGCGGCAGGCUUAACACAUGCAAGUCGAACGAGUGGCGGACGGGUGAGUAAUGUCUGGGGAACUGCCCGAUAGAGGGGGAUAACUACUGGAAACGGUGGCUAAUACCGCAUACCAUCGGAUGUCCCCAGAUGGGAUUAGCUUGUAGGUGGGGUAAAGGCUCACCAAGGAGACGAUCCCUAGCUGGUCUGAGUGGAUGACCAGCCACACUGGAACUGAGACACGGCCCAGACUCCUACGGGAGGCAGCAGUGGGGAAUAUUGCACAAUGGGCGCAAGCCUGAUGCAGCCAUGCCGCGUGUAUGAAGAAUGCCUUAGGGUUGUAAAGUACUUUCAGCGGGGAGGCGUUACCCGCAGAAGAAGCACCGGCUAACUCCGUGCCAGCAGCCGCGGUAAUAC
Molecule: ribosomal RNA, 406 nt
Filed under: uncultured bacterium
Lineage: Bacteria
Description: partial 16S ribosomal RNA
Rfam family: Bacterial small subunit ribosomal RNA
Source: RNAcentral